This 349-nucleotide ribosomal RNA is filed under the name Escherichia coli. RNAcentral's name for it is "partial 23S ribosomal RNA". It matches the Rfam family "Bacterial large subunit ribosomal RNA", at positions 172 to 559 of the family's 2925-position model. Lineage: Bacteria; Pseudomonadati; Pseudomonadota; Gammaproteobacteria; Enterobacterales; Enterobacteriaceae. The record is from RNAcentral.
UAAUGAGGCGAACCGGGGGAACUGAAACAUCUAAGUACCCCGAGGAAAAGAAAUCAACCGAGAUUCCCCCAGUAGCGGCGAGCGAACGGGGAGGAGCCCAGAGCCUGAAUCAGUGUGUGUGUUAGUGGAAGCGUCUGGAAAGGCGCGCGAUACAGGGUGACAGCCCCGUACACAAAAAUGCACAUGCUGUGAGCUCGAUGAGUAGGGCGGGACACGUGGUAUCCUGUCUGAAUAUGGGGGGACCAUCCUCCAAGGCUAAAUACUCCUGACUGACCGAUAGUGAACCAGUACCGUGAGGGAAAGGCGAAAAGAACCCCGGCGAGGGGAGUGAAAAAGAACCUGAAACCGU